This is a long non-coding RNA of Salarias fasciatus (jewelled blenny), 126 nucleotides long. RefSeq lists it as uncharacterized. NCBI's taxonomy places the organism in Eukaryota, Metazoa, Chordata, Actinopteri, Blenniiformes, Blenniidae. The transcript is spliced from 3 exons. The record is from RefSeq and is a predicted model, not a curated record.
CAACACUGCAAGCUUGGGUGUUCAUAAUUAAGUGGAUCUAUAUGUCUGAUGUGUGAUGACAUUAAAUGCUUGAGUUGAAUCUGGCUUCAAUUCACCACCUCACCAUCAGCUCUGCUGGGUUCAGCC